UAAAGUUUUAUGGGAAUUUUGUUUCAUUGUAUACGGAUUCAGUUUUUAUUUUAACCAAUAUGAUAUUCAUUAGCGUUGUGUUCUGAAACGAGGAGAGGUUAUCAUAUAAAGGGAAAGGGGUAUUGUUAUAUUAGUAGCUCUACAUGAUUCCAGUAAGGAAAAACAAGAGACCUCGACAAUAACGUUACUGUUCGAACAUAAUUUUUAACCCCCAAUUUUCGCAUCGAACACUUGAGCUCAGAUUAAGGUUGAGGUGCAAGACGAGCCGCGUGGAUUGUGUUAUUAGGCGACUCCACAAAGUCCCAGAUUGUUUUGCAGGUAAAAGUAUUCAGCUAGGAUGAUUGGCUAUCAGCUGGGAUUGGCAAACUCCAUUUUCUUCCCGGAGCAGUGUCGACUCAUUAUGGUUAUCAUAUGUGUGUAUGGGCAUGUCGGGGCCCUGUCCCGACUCAUAUGGUUCAGGUGUUUACUCUUAGAGACUUUACAAACAGUGUCCUGUGGUUAGUAUGUAGAGAUGUCAUAUGUUGAGUAAAGUGACCACGUAGGCCGAUAUGUCCGUUUGACUUAUUCGAUUUUUGAUUAAUUGAGUAUCGUUCGCAAA
Long non-coding RNA from Lycium barbarum (goji berry), 598 nucleotides. RefSeq lists it as uncharacterized. The transcript is spliced from 2 exons. The record is from RefSeq and is a predicted model, not a curated record. Lineage: Eukaryota; Viridiplantae; Streptophyta; Magnoliopsida; Solanales; Solanaceae.